This 73-nucleotide transfer RNA is filed under the name Golovinomyces cichoracearum. It matches the Rfam family "tRNA". From Rfam's summary of the family: Transfer RNA (tRNA) molecules are approximately 80 nucleotides in length. The record is from Rfam by way of RNAcentral. RNAcentral also lists the same sequence under 3 other names. Lineage: Eukaryota; Fungi; Ascomycota; Leotiomycetes; Helotiales; Erysiphaceae.
GUGGAUAUAGCUCAAUAGGUAGAGCGUCUGUAUGUGGCACAGUAGGUUCUCAGUUCAAAUCUGGGUAUCCUCC